Molecule: small nucleolar RNA, 216 nt
Filed under: Castor canadensis (American beaver)
Lineage: Eukaryota; Metazoa; Chordata; Mammalia; Rodentia; Castoridae
Description: Small nucleolar RNA U3 (ENSCCNG00000030975.1)
Rfam family: Small nucleolar RNA U3
About the family: Small nucleolar RNAs (snoRNAs) are involved in the processing and modification of rRNA in the nucleolus.
Source: Rfam by way of RNAcentral
AGGACUAUACUUUCAGGGGUCAUUUCUGUAGUUUGUUACUAGAGAAGUUUCUCUGGUUGUGUAAAGUACCAGAAACCACAAGGAGCAGAUGUAACAUUCUCACCUGAGCAUGAAGCUGGCUCUUGGUGUUGUUUUAUUGCAAUUGCCAUUUGCCUUUGAUAAUCAUUCUUCUCUUCCUUUGAAGGACUAAGGGGGUGAAGAUGUAGUCCGAGUAGU